CGCCGCUGCGCUCGCAUUGAACCCGAGCGAGAGGUCGUCGCCUCGUCCCGCGGCCGCCGCCGCCGCGGAUGAGGCUACCCAGUCCGCGAAGGCGCCGGUGUCCGAUGGGAAGCGCCGUCCCGAAGCCACACUUAUAUCCCCCUGAUUCCGCAGCUGCAAACGAUAAAAUUACCGCUUAAUUUCCGCACUUAGAGCCUAGAUUAGUAGAUUUCUCUCUCCCUAAAGCUACCACCGCUACUCGCCUACUCCUCCCCCUCUCCCCUCGAACAGCAGCAGCAGCAGCAGCAGCCGCCGGCGGCGGCAUGAGAAAGUAAAAACAAACCCAAAACGAAUCAAAAACUAAACCCAAAAACUGAAGAAAGGAGGCGAGAAAGUAAAAGGAGAGGAGAGGAGACGAGCUAAUAAGGCGGAAUAAAAAUCUCGGCUACGACUACUCACGCAGGAGGCUGAGCUGAGCUGAGCCGCAAGUCACGGCAGAAGUCUCCUCGAUCCCGUAGUGCACUAGACUGCCCUGUCUCUAUCUCUAUCUCGCUCUACCAGCAGCUCGCUUACUUGCUGCUUCUGCUGCUACGGCUCCAGCUCGCUCUCUCCUUUUUUCCUUUCCUUUUUGUCACUUGACGCUGCACAUUUGGGAGGGAUUUGUGUGCGUAGGAGAGGAGAGGAGGGUUAGCUAGCUACGCUAUACUAGUAGUAGUAGGAUAGGAGGCGUAGGAGAGCGAUGUGUGGAAGGGUCACUCGAUGCACACUCCAAUAGUUGGAGCAACGAAAGAGAGAGGAGAGGAGUCGUCUCGAAUUUAAGUGGUGGUGGAGACCGGGAGAGGGGAGGAGUGGGGACUCUGAAAUUCCUCUGGGAGAUGAGAUCUUCUCGAUCACUCCCUAUCGACGACGAGACGAUCUAUCUUUGGCGGUGGGAGGGCCUUUUUAUUGGCCGUUCCUUCGCUUUGGCCGCUCUCUUCUCUUUUCUGCGCUCCAUGC
RNAcentral lists this long non-coding RNA (975 nucleotides) under Oryza brachyantha (malo sina). RNAcentral describes it as "long non-coding RNA (OBRA_LNC000315)". Lineage: Eukaryota; Viridiplantae; Streptophyta; Magnoliopsida; Poales; Poaceae. The record is from RNAcentral.